UUUCUGUACUUUUAAUUCUCGUCCAAAGUUUCAUACAGAUUUCCUUCCAUCCUCGUGCACGAUGCGUCCACUGGCACUAAAAUGAAAUUCAAUCCAGACUACAACUCCUUUGUUGGUUACGGCCGAUUCCAACAUAGGAGCUCUAUGUUUAAUUUCCUAUGUUCCGCAAUUGAUUCCUAAGGCCCAACUAUGCUCUGAUACCAACUUUGUCACGACUCAUUUCCGUGGGCCGGACCGGCACUAGGACCUGGGUGGACUUAAGGCCCCCGAAGCCCGUAGUAAGCCUA
This 287-nucleotide long non-coding RNA is filed under the name Jatropha curcas. Its description in RNAcentral is "long non-coding RNA (JCUR_LNC002994)". The record is from RNAcentral. Lineage: Eukaryota; Viridiplantae; Streptophyta; Magnoliopsida; Malpighiales; Euphorbiaceae.